RNAcentral lists this ribosomal RNA (920 nucleotides) under uncultured bacterium. RNAcentral describes it as "bacterial SSU rRNA". It matches the Rfam family "Bacterial small subunit ribosomal RNA", at positions 8 to 916 of the family's 1533-position model. The record is from RNAcentral.
AGAGUUUGAUCAUGGCUCAGGAUGAACGCUGGCGGCGUGCCUAACACAUGCAAGUCGAACGGGGUUAUUUUGAUGAAGUCUUCGGAUGGAAUUGAGAUAACCUAGAGGCGGACGGGUGAGUAACGCGUGGGCAACCUGCCCCAUACAGGGGGAUAACAGCCGGAAACGGCUGCUAAAACCGCAUAAGCGCACACCGGCGCAUGCCGGAGUGUGAAAAUGUGUAUCGAAAGAUAUGCAGGUAUGGGAUGGGCCCGCGUCUGAUUAGCUGGUUGGUGAGGUAACGGCCCACCAAGGCGACGAUCAGUAGCCGGCUUGAGAGAGUGACCGGCCACAUUGGGACUGAGACACGGCCCAAACUCCUACGGGAGGCAGCAGUGGGGAAUAUUGCACAAUGGGGGAAACCCUGAUGCAGCGACGCCGCGUGAGUGAAGAAGUACUUCGGUACGUAAAGCUCUAUCAGCAGGGACGAAGAUGACGGUACCUGACUAAGAAGCCCCGGCUAACUACGUGCCAGCAGCCGCGGUAAUACGUAGGGGGCGAGCGUUAUCCGGAUUUACUGGGUGUAAAGGGAGCGUAGGUGGCGAAGCAAGUCAGAUGUGAAAGCCCGGGGCUUAACUCCGGGACUGCAUUUGAAACUGUUUUGCUAGAGUGCAGGAGAGGUAAGUGGAAUUCCUAGUGUAGCGGUGAGAUGCGUAGAUAUUAGGAGGAACACCAGUGGCGAAGGCGGCUUACUGGACUGUAACUGACACUGAGGCUCGAAAGCGUGGGGAGCAAACAGGAUUAGAUACCCUGGUAGUCCACGCUGUAAACGAUGAAUACUAGGUGUUGGGGAGCGUAAGCUCUUCGGUGCCGUCGCAAACGCAUUAAGUAUUCCACCUGGGGAGUACGUUCGCAAGAAUGAAACUCAAAUGAAUUGACGG